CCGAGUUUACAACUCCCAAACCCCUGUGAACAUACCUAUAUGUUGCCUCGGCGGAUCAGCCCGCUCCCCGGUAAAACGGGACGGCCCGCCAGCAGGACCCACUAAACUCUGUUUUCUAUAUGUAACUUCUGAGUAACAAAACAUAAAUAAAUCA
This 154-nucleotide unclassified non-coding RNA is filed under the name soil metagenome. Its description in RNAcentral is "partial internal transcribed spacer 1". The record is from RNAcentral.